CCGGUUCGGGUAAAAUUUUGCUGAAUUGAACCGUAAAAAAGUUCGGUUCGGUUCUUGGCUAGUUCGUAUCAAAAAAUUUUACCGAAAUUUUUGGUUUAAAUUGAAUAAAAUUCAAAAAAAAAUUUUGUUCGGAUUUUGAUUAGUUCUGUUAUUUUGAUUCGGAUUUUGGUUAGUUCGGUUCGGAUUUUCGGUUAAUAUUGGUACUGUUUGAUUGUUUUUGUUACCAAACAUCCGAACCGAAAACCGAACUUUUCGGUUCGGUUCGGUUAAAAAUCCCAGCUCUAAUUAAUUAUAUAUGACUGAUAUUGUUUUAUCUUCUUAGGAUCCAAAAACUGAAAACAACCCUUACUUGGGUUUCAUCUACACAUCCUUUCAAGAAAGAGCGACCUUCAUCUCCCAUGGAAACACUGCCAGACACGCUAAAGAUCUUGGAGAUUUGAAACUUGCGCAGAUAUGCGGGACCAUUGCUGCUGACGAGAAGCGCCACGAGACUGCUUACACCAAGAUUGUGGAGAAGCUCUUCGAAAUCGACGCUGAUGGCACCAUCUUGGGAUUGGCUGAUAUGAUGAAGAAAAAGAUCUCGAUGCCUGCGCAUUUGAUGUAUGACGGCCAAGAUGAUAACCUGUUUGAGCACUUCUCGACCGUUGCCCAGAGGCUUGGUGUUUACACGGCCAAGGACUAUGCUGAUAUUCUGGAGUUUCUUGUUGAACGGUGGAACGUUGAGACUUUGUCAGGCCUUUCUAGUGAAGGACACAAGGCUCAGGUAAAAUUACCAUCAUUAAACUUGUGAUGAAACCUAUCAGCUUAUGAAGUCUCUCUUAGUAGGUUUCUUCGUCAUGAAUAUAAUAUACUAGCUGGACGGCUUGAUCUGUUUUGUGUAUUUGAUCGGGGACAUGAACUUGAAUUCUGACUCUGUCAUUGCCUCUGACAGGACUUUGUCUGUGGAUUACCUGCAAGAAUCCGCAAGAUUGAAGAGAGAGCUCAAGGAAGAGCCAAAGAAGCAGCCAAAAACGUACCAUUCAGCUGGAUUUUUGGUCGGGAGAUUAGGGCUUAAGUAAACAUCUCUCUCUCUCUUUCAAAUGAUCCCCGAGUAAGCCGCCAUAAACAUCUCCACCGAUGACGUACCAGUCUUAAGACCUCGAAAGUUCAUUUGAAUAUGUUUUGUUUUAUACGGAACAUUGUAGAUAAUGUUAUGUUUUCUUGUUAGUCGAAGACCAUAAAAUGGUGUUUUGAGUGUUCCUAGUGAGUGAUAAUGUCUGGUUACCAAGAACAAAAAGACUUUUAAGAGUUUGGUUUUCUAUUUUCGAUUCUCUUUUUUGUUGUACCAGUACUUAAUAAUGUUCUCCCAUAAGCAAAGAACGGUUUGUAAUUUAAACCUCUUGUUCAAGUAACAACCAACCAAAAAGUGACCGUUUUAUUACCAUAACAAAGAUGAAACUUAAAAAUAACGUUUUAAUACAAUUGAAACGGAGUAAAGUCUUAUUAGAUGAAACCAUAACUGCAAACGCACAAAUCAAAACUGUUUCUUCUUUUACUCUCAAAUUAAAAGAAGAAGAAAGACUCUGUUCACGAUCUUGUUUAGCUUCUAAAAACUUUAAAGAUCAUGUUUCCCAAGAAACCAGCUGAUUCAUCUACCACACAUCAACACAGCUUCGACGAGUCUCGAUGGGUCAACAACGUCAGAAAAUCUCUCGACGCAGAGCUCGAAGACCACCCUCUCGAACAAGUCACAGUCAGCAUUUUCACCGUCCCUAAAGCUUUAAUGUCUACCCACCAAGACUCAUACACACCUCAGCGAGUCUCCAUCGGACCUUACCACUGUCUCAAACCAGAGCUUCACGAAACAGAGAGGUACAAACUAACGAUCGCUAGAAAAUUUCGAAACAAUUCCAAAUCUUUCAGGUUUCACGACCUCGUCGAGAAGCUGCAAUCAUUGGAGGCCAAGAUCAGAGCUUGCUAUCAUAAGUACAUCGCGCUGAGCGACGAGACUCUGCUGUGGAUAAUGGCGAUCGACUCUUCGUUCUUGAUCGAGUUUCUUAAGGUUUAUUACGGUUUCGGAAAGGUCGAGACUUUGAUUAACAGAGUCGGCCACAACGAGAUUCUUAGAGAUGUAAUGAUGUUAGAGAAUCAAAUCCCGUUGUUCGUUUUGAGGAAAACGCUCGAAGUUCAGCUCGAAUCGAAGGAAUCAGCUGAUGCUCUGUUGGUCUCUGUUCUCACUGGACUCUGCAGAGACCUCUCUCCCCUCGUUGUUAAAUUCGAAGAUGGUGAGAUUCUGAAGGCUGAGAUUCAUGAGUGCAAUCAUAUCCUAGACUUCUUGUAUCAGAUGAUCGUUCCAAGAAUCGAAGAAGAAGAGGAAGAAGAAGAAGAAAACAGAGCAGGCGAAAACAGAGCAUGUAAGCUUCUGAGAGAGAUGAAGCUUCAGUUCAAAAGGGUCUUCGCGUCUCGACCUGCUGAUGUCAUCCUGAGACUCCCAUGGAGAGUCAUAUCGAAUCUCCCCGGCUUCAUCGCUAUACUUUUAUCAAUGGGUCACACUGCUAUUUUAAUAGAAUAGAUGUGAUAUAAAUUUUAUGAUUAGUUAAUGAUUCCCUAUUUGCGUAUAUUGACGUUCGUGCAAGUCUUGAUAAUAAACGAUUUAAAUCUGACAUGUAUUCUUCGACUCUUCGGUUAGAAUAGUAGUUGUUGAUUUUUGAAAAUAAAAGUAGUCGAAAGUCCACCCAUCUCUCGAUUAAAAUGGUAACAAACGGUUGCAUAUUUAUCAUGCGUCCAAAACAAUAUAACUGUCCAAUAACUAAAUUACCUUUAUGCCAUUAGUGAAGGGUAACUAGACCUUUGUAAAAGUGAUGGUAAAAUAAGUAAUAUAAAUAGUUGGACUAAACUUAUAUCAAUAGGUCAAGAUGUUAGUUUUUAAUAUAAUAGACUAAAUUCUGACCCGUCCUUUAAGGACGGGUAUAUUUUUUGUUUUACAUCUUUUUAGGUCUUUUCAAUUGGUAAUUUAAAUAUAAGUUUAAUAACAUAAAGCAUAAUAAAUAAUAUUUUAAAUAAUGAUAAAGAUAAAAAAAAUAAUAAUUGGACAUACUUUUAUCAAUGGGUCACAGUGCUAUUUUAAUAGAAUAGAUGUGAUAUAAAUUUUAUGAUUAGUUAAUGAUUCCCUAUUUGCGUAUAUUGACGUUCGUGCAAGUCUUGAUAAUAAACGAUUUAAAUCUGACAUGUAUUCUUCGACUCUUCGGUUAGAAUAGUAGUUGUUGAUUUUUGAAAAUAAAAGUAGUCGAAAGUCCACCCAUCUCUCGAUUAAAAUGGUAACAAACGGUUGCAUAUUUAUCAUGCGUCCAAAACAAUAUAACUGUCCAAUAACUAAAUUACCUUUAUGCCAUUAGUGAAGGGUAACUAGACCUUUGUAAAAGUGAUGGUAAAAUAAGUAAUAUAAAUAGUUGGACUAAACUUAUAUCAAUAGGUCAAGAUGUUAGUUUUUAAUAUAAUAGACUAGAUUCUGACCCGUCCUUAAAGGACGGGUAUAUUUUUUGUUUUACAUCUUUUUAGGUCUUUUCAAUUGGUAAUUUAAAUAUAAAUUUAAUAACAUAAAGCAUAAUAAAUAAUAUUUUAAAUAAUGAUAAAGAUAAAAGAAAUAAUAAUUGGACCAUACUUUUAUCAAUGGGUCACACUGCUAUUUUAAUAGAAUAGAUUUAAAUAUAGGUCUAAUGGCAUAAAACAUAAUAAAUAAUAUUUUAAAUAAUGAUAAAGAUAAAAGAAAUAAUAGUUGGACGAUACUUUUAUCAAUGGGUCACACUGCUAUUUUAAUAGAAUAGAUUCUGGAUGAUGUGGUUAUGUCUAAAAGGACACUUAUUUUGCCAGGUCCGGUUCGUGUAGUCUUGUUAGCCUGUUCUUAAGUAAAGAGCGUUGGAUUAUGACCAGUUUAAGGUCUGUAUCUACUCUUACACGUUUAAAAUAAGUGCAGAUUUAAUAAUGGUUCUAGCUGGGCCAGAGUGGACCGGCUAGUAUUAGACGUACCAUAACCAAGGACUACGUUAUUCAACAUAUAACCGCGUAAUGAGAAUAUGAUAUAAUUUGGGGUGAUGGUUCUGUAGAUAACUAAUAAAUGCAUGGAAGAACUAACUUACCAUGCCAAGGAACAGCAUGUGCACAUUAUCAUAACUCACAAAGCCUCUCUGUCAUCUACGCAGAGAUUCUUUCUCUCUCAAACACUCAUAAACACAUUAAUUAUCCGCUAGAGUUUGACUUUUUUUCCCGGAGGAAACAUGGCGUCGAACCAUGAGUUUCUUGCUCGGUUCGUCGAGGAGACAACGUUUUACAACCGAAUAGUUCUGAGCCACCUUUUGCCGGCGAAUCUAUGGGAGCCUUUGCCACAUUUCCUCCAAACAUGGCUCCGGAACUACCUAGCCGGAAACUUACUUUACUUCAUCUCCGGCUUCCUCUGGUGCUUCUACAUCUAUUACCUUAAACUCAACGUUUACGUCCCUCAAGGUGAGAUUAUUUUUUCAGUUCGUCUUAUUUUUGAGCUCUCUUUUUUUUUAAUGAAUCUACAAUAUUCUUCAGAUUCUGUUCCUACAAGAAAGGCAAUGAUUCUACAAAUAUAUGUGGCAAUGAAGGCUAUGCCUUGGUCCACACUUGUUCCAACUGUCUCUGAGUAUAUAAUCGAGCGUGGUUGGACCAAAUGUUACUCUACACUUGAUCAGUUCAACUGGUGCCUCUGUUUGGUUUACAUCGCGUUUUAUCUUGUUUUAGUUGAGUUUAUGAUUUAUUGGGUUCACAAAAUGACUCAUGACAAUAAAUUUCUCUAUAAGCAUCUCCAUGCAACCCACCAUAUGUACAACAAGCAAAACACACUCUCUCCAUUUGCUGGUUAGUCACAUUCUUAUUUCUUAAGAACUCUCUUUCAAACCUGCUUGCCCUGGGAGUUAACUUUAACCUUAUCUUCGAUAAUGUUGAAACUAACAUUCAAAUCGAACGGCCGGUCUAUAAAUUUGGUGCUAAGAUUCAUGAGUUUCCAACUUAGUUACAAUUGGCAAUAAGUGGAUUGGUCUAGAUGUCUUAUAUAUUAUUUAUGUUUCAUCGAAACUCUUAAUUUGGGGGAUUUUAUUCUUAUACUCUCUUUAGUGAUUAAACUUCAUGACCUAUUAAUCUUUACAUAGUCCCAAUACUUGGUAAUAAAUUUUUUCUGUCAACUUGGUAAUAUAUAACAUUGCUUGAAAGUUUUUCGGGUUUUCAGGGCUUGCGUUCCAUCCAUUGGAUGGGAUACUUCAGGCAGUACCGCAUGUGAUAGCUCUGUUCAUAGUGCCGAUACAUCUCAUAACACAUUUGAGUCUUUUUAUUAUGGAAGGGAUAUGGACAGUGAGCAACCAUGAUUGCAUCAAUGGUAACAUAUGGCCUAUAAUGGGUGCAGGACACCAUACCAUACACCAUACAACAUACAAGCAUAACUAUGGCCAUUAUACCAUAUGCAUGGAUUGGCUGUUUGGCUCACUUAAGGUCCCUUUAGCUGAAGACGACAGCUUUAAUGAGAAAGAAAAGUGAUAUGUUCAACGUACACAUUUUUUUUGUUGUCCUUCAUGUGUUUUUCUACUCCUGAGUCUUAAACCUUUGUAAUAUCACUUUGUUAGAAUAAGAAACAUGAUUGCACUAUUAGCUACAAAGUUUCUUACUUGUCUUCAAAGAAUACUUAGUUUGGUAAGUAGAAGGUUGAUAAAGAUACAACACUAGCAUCUAUAAUAGGCAAAGUUUGUACUUUUCAGUUAAGGUAAGAAAUCUAAAAACAUAAAAAUAGAGAAAAUUAAAGGUAGUAUAAAAUAUAGCCAAGUAUACGCUUUCAUAAUCAACUAGUUCUUGUAGAUGGGUCACAUAGAAAGCAUAAAUAUCUGCCAAUGCUCCCACUUGUGUUGAAUGGGUUGUCCCACAGAGUCACAGAUCUCUAUGCCUACACAUUUAAUAUUGUUAUGGCUCCUUUAACUACUGUGAUGUUUAAGUGCAGACUUUUCUCAGAUCAGAAGAAAACCAGUUAGUUGGGGCAAUGACAUAUUUAGCUCACCAUAAAAUUGCUAAAAAAAAAAGCUCACCAUAAGAAUGAGUUGUGAAAUAUAGAAUCACCAAGUCAUUAUUAGAAACGUUGUCAAUGGAUUUGAUUCUUGAUGUUUAAAACUGUUGGGAUUAGUCGAAGCAUAAUUUAGGCCCAAUAAUUUGACAAAAGAAUGAGUCAUAUAUCAUUCGGCCCAUGGGCCUGUGAAAAAAGCAGCGAAAAAUAUCUGAGUGUGGCAUUGACGUAAAUAAAAGAGCACCUGAGGGAUAUUCUAGAGAAGAAAAAUAAAAGUUGCAUACAUACACAUGUCCAUGGCUCGAUCAUCACGCCCACCCAAAACCUUCACAUUUGUCACAGUCUCGUAGCAGCAAUCAAACAUAGAAAUAAUCGACCUUCGGGAUCCGUCCUUGUUCUUUAUUUAAAUCACUUCCAUUUAUCGAGUUUGUUAGAGUCUUAGAGAAUAAACUAAGAGAAAAAUGGCGAUGGCUAUGAGUCGGAUCGUACUUUCGCCUUCUUCUUACGCCUAUCGUCCUCGUCAAGCUCGUGGAUCCAGAUCCUCCAUUGCUUCUUCGAUUCGUUCCGCUACUACGUGAGCCUUUUCUCCCUUCAUUGUCGUAAUCAUAUGUUUUGCUGAUCUGUGUGUUUUGGAUUGAAUGCCGAUGAUGAAUCUCUGUUAUCACCAAUGUUCAAAAAUAGCUAAGGCUGUAACUAGUCGUAUUAGCAACUAGGCGGAUUAUUUGGAAUCUAGGCCUAGCCUUCCUGGGGUUAACAAAUUAUUGACUGAUUUGAUGUAUUUUUACAUUCGUGUAAGAUAUUUUAGUUUUUAGAUCUAAUUAUAAAAUUAGUUCGAUGAAUUACUAAAAUUAGAUAUAUAUAUAAAACAAAAAAAAAAUAGUCAAAAUUUGUGGAUUUGUACCAACAUUAUUAACAAAUUUAGACUAAUUUAAAUUAAUUUAGAAUGGCUUAAACCGAUUUAAAAUAGCUUAAAUCUUAUAUAAAUCGAAUAUUUUAAAAAACCAUUUCGGCUCGCAUCGAUUUUUAGGACAAAUUUUAUUAUCAUGGUUAUUACUAAUUCAUCGAGGAAGACAUAUAUACUGUCUGAAGCUUAUUGGUGUUUUUUCAGGAUUGUUGUGUGUAGUACUGCUAAGUCUAUUUUAUUUUCAUCACUCGCUCAAGUCCUGAGUUUGAAACUCUAUUUGGUUUAAUUACAGGGAGGUUACUAACGGAAGGAAGCUCUACAUCCCUCCACGAGAAGUGCAUGUCCAAGUUAAACACUCCAUGCCGCCGCAAAAGCUCGAGAUGUUCAAAUCCUUGGAAGGAUGGGCUGACGAGACCCUCUUGACCUACUUAAAACCCGUCGAGAAGUCGUGGCAGCCGACAGAUUUUCUCCCGGAAGCCGAGUCAGAAGGGUUCUAUGACCAAGUCAAAGAGUUAAGGGAACGGUGUAAGGAGCUUCCCGACGAGUAUUUCGUGGUGCUUGUCGGUGAUAUGAUCACUGAAGAAGCGCUUCCGACUUACCAGACCAUGUUGAACACGUUGGAUGGUGUUAGGGAUGAGACGGGAGCUAGUCCUACUCCUUGGGCGGUGUGGACUAGGGCGUGGACUGCUGAAGAGAAUAGGCAUGGGGAUUUGCUUAACAAGUAUCUUUAUUUGUCUGGGAGAGUUGACAUGAGGCAGAUUGAGAAGACUAUUCAGUACCUUAUUGGCUCUGGAAUGGUAAGCUUCUCUGAUUUGUAUUCUAUGUUUCUCAUGUAUGAUUAAUUUAUAGGCCUGCCGGUUCGGGUAAAAUUUUGCUGAAUUGAACCGUAAAAAAGUUCGGUUCGGUUCUUGGCUAGUUCGUAUCAAAAAAUUUUACCGAAAUUUUUGGUUUAAAUUGAAUAAAAUUCAAAAAAAAAUUUUGUUCGGAUUUUGAUUAGUUCUGUUAUUUUGAUUCGGAUUUUGGUUAGUUCGGUUCGGAUUUUCGGUUAAUAUUGGUACUGUUUGAUUGUUUUUGUUACCAAACAUCCGAACCGAAAACCGAACUUUUCGGUUCGGUUCGGUUAAAAAUCCCAGCUCUAAUUAAUUAUAUAUGACUGAUAUUGUUUUAUCUUCUUAGGAUCCAAAAACUGAAAACAACCCUUACUUGGGUUUCAUCUACACAUCCUUUCAAGAAAGAGCGACCUUCAUCUCCCAUGGAAACACUGCCAGACACGCUAAAGAUCUUGGAGAUUUGAAACUUGCGCAGAUAUGCGGGACCAUUGCUGCUGACGAGAAGCGCCACGAGACUGCUUACACCAAGAUUGUGGAGAAGCUCUUCGAAAUCGACGCUGAUGGCACCAUCUUGGGAUUGGCUGAUAUGAUGAAGAAAAAGAUCUCGAUGCCUGCGCAUUUGAUGUAUGACGGCCAAGAUGAUAACCUGUUUGAGCACUUCUCGACCGUUGCACAGAGGCUCGGUGUCUACACUGCGAAGGACUAUGCUGAUAUUCUGGAGUUUCUUGUUGAACGGUGGAACGUUGAGACUUUGUCAGGCCUUUCUAGUGAAGGACACAAGGCUCAGGUACAUUACCAUCAUAAAACUUGUGAUGAAACCUAUCAGCUUAUGAAGUCUCUCUUAGUAGGUUUCUUCGUCAUGAAUAUAAUAUACUAGCUGGACGGCUUGAUCUGUUUUGUGUAUUUGAUCGGGGACAUGAACUUGAAUUCUGACUCUGUCAUUGCCUCUGACAGGACUUUGUCUGUGGAUUACCUGCAAGAAUCCGCAAGAUUGAAGAGAGAGCUCAAGGAAGAGCCAAAGAAGCAGCCAAAAACGUACCGUUCAGCUGGAUUUUUGAUCGAGAGAUUAGGGCUUAAGUUAAACAUCUCUCUCUCUCUUUCAAAUGAUCCCCGAGUAAGCUGCCAUAAACAUCUUCACCGAUGACGUACCAGUCUUAAGACCUCGAAAGUUCAUUUGAAUAUGUUUUGUUUUAUACGGAACAUUGUAGAUAAUGUUAUGUUUUCUUGUUAGUCGAAGACCAUAAAAUGGUGUUUUGAGUGUUCCUAGUGAGUGAUAAUGUCUGGUUACCAAGAACAAAAAGACUUUUAAGAGUUUGGUUUUCUAUUUUCGAUUCUCUUUUUUGUUGUACCAGUACUUAAUAAUGUUCUCCCAUAAGCAAAGAACGGUUUGUAAUUUAAACCUCUUGUUCAAGUAACAACCAACCAAAAAGUGACCGUUUUAUUACCAUAACAAAGAUGAAACUUAAAAAUAACGUUUUAAUACAAUUGAAACGGAGUAAAGUCUUAUUAGAUGAAACCAUAACUGCAAACGCACAAAUCAAAACUGUUUCUUCUUUUACUCUCAAAUUAAAAGAAGAAGAAAGACUCUGUUCACGAUCUUGUUUAGCUUCUAAAAACUUUAAAGAUCAUGUUUCCCAAGAAACCAGCUGAUUCAUCUACCACACAUCAACACAGCUUCGACGAGUCUCGAUGGGUCAACAACGUCAGAAAAUCUCUCGACGCAGAGCUCGAAGACCACCCUCUCGAACAAGUCACAGUCAGCAUUUUCACCGUCCCUAAAGCUUUAAUGUCUACCCACCAAGACUCAUACACACCUCAGCGAGUCUCCAUCGGACCUUACCACUGUCUCAAACCAGAGCUUCACGAAACAGAGAGGUACAAACUAACGAUCGCUAGAAAAUUUCGAAACAAUUCCAAAUCUUUCAGGUUUCACGACCUCGUCGAGAAGCUGCAAUCAUUGGAGGCCAAGAUCAGAGCUUGCUAUCAUAAGUACAUCGCGCUGAGCGACGAGACUCUGCUGUGGAUAAUGGCGAUCGACUCUUCGUUCUUGAUCGAGUUUCUUAAGGUUUAUUACGGUUUCGGAAAGGUCGAGACUUUGAUUAACAGAGUCGGCCACAACGAGAUUCUUAGAGAUGUAAUGAUGUUAGAGAAUCAAAUCCCGUUGUUCGUUUUGAGGAAAACGCUCGAAGUUCAGCUCGAAUCGAAGGAAUCAGCUGAUGCUCUGUUGGUCUCUGUUCUCACUGGACUCUGCAGAGACCUCUCUCCCCUCGUUGUUAAAUUCGAAGAUGGUGAGAUUCUGAAGGCUGAGAUUCAUGAGUGCAAUCAUAUCCUAGACUUCUUGUAUCAGAUGAUCGUUCCAAGAAUCGAAGAAGAAGAGGAAGAAGAAGAAGAAAACAGAGCAGGCGAAAACAGAGCAUGUAAGCUUCUGAGAGAGAUGAAGCUUCAGUUCAAAAGGGUCUUCGCGUCUCGACCUGCUGAUGUCAUCCUGAGACUCCCAUGGAGAGUCAUAUCGAAUCUCCCCGGCUUCAUCGCUCUGAACUAUCUCUUCACCAGACAAGAAAACGAAGAAGCAGCAGCAACGGUCUCUGUUUCCGACAUCGAGAAGCCUCCUCUAGUCUCCGAACUCACAAUCCCAUCGGUCUCCGAACUCCACAAAGCAGGAGUCAAGUUCAAACCAACACAAAACGGCAACGUUUCGACCGUUUCAUUCGACUCAAACUCAGGCCACUUCCACCUCCCUGUGAUAAACCUAGACAUCAACACGGAGACCGUUCUUCGAAACCUCGUGGCCUACGAAGCUUCGAACACUUCGGGAGGACCAUUAGUGUUCACUCGUUACACUGAGCUGAUGAACGGGAUCAUCGAUUCGGAGGAAGACGUUAGGUUGCUUAGAGAGCAAGGCGUUCUUGUGAGCCGUCUCAAGAGCGAUGAAGAAGCUGCGGAGAUGUGGAACGGUAUGAGCGAAUCAGUGAGGUUGACCAAAGUUGGGUUCUUGGAUAAGACUAUUGAGGAUGUGAACCGGUAUUAUACCGGACGGUGGAAAGUUAAGAUUGGGAGAUUUGUUGAGGUUUAUGUUUAUGGUUCUUGGAAGAUUUUUGCGUUUUUGGCGGCGGUUUUGUUGUUGAUUCUGGUUUCGUUGCAAGUGCUCUCGUUGGUGUUUAGCUCGUUGAGACUGGUUGGGUUGAGAACCGGUUAGGGGGAUUGCAAUUGGUGAUGAUGUGAUUUGAAUUUGGUUUGGUUUGAUUUUCUCUAUGGUUCCCUUUUGAUUUGGUUCAUGUUGAACCAUGUAUGAAACUGAAACCAGCGUGGUUCUGUUGUGUUGUCUAAACACAUUUAUCCGAAACCAAAAACUGAAAUCUGGGUCAGUUUUGGAUCGAUGGAUCUCAUAUUUUUUAAAUCGAAAAAUUGAAAUCAAAUAAAAAACCGAAUGAAUAUUCAUACUUUUAUAAUAUAUAUAGUUUAUACACUUAUAAAUAUUAAUUAACUAUAUUUAGUUUUAUAAUAAUCUUAAAUACGUUUAUAAUUCAAAUUAUAAAAAAAAUCUAAAUAUUUUUUUUAUCUGACAUGCUCAAAAAUUAAUCGGAAAACCAGAACCAAAUUGAAAUAGUAGUUAUUUCAGAUAUUAGUUGGUUUUCAGUUUUGUUAUACGAACCGAAUUGGAGCUGAAAUAAUCAAACUUAAAUCAAACCGAAUUUUCUAAAUAUUUGAAUAUGUCCUAAAUCUCUAGAACCCCAAUCCGAAUCAAUACCCAAAAUGGCCAGACUUAUCUUUGUUAGUUGUUACUGUAAGAAUUUUUUAUUUGCAACUAAAGUGCUCCAUUUUUAGUUUCUUCCAAUUAUCUCCUCAAAUAUCGAAAUUGAGAGAGAACAAAUAGGGUUGUUGGGUUUAGAAUCAGAAACUGCAGCUUGAAGAUAGUCUGAGAGAGAGAGAGAGAAAGCAGAAAUGUUGAGAUCCGUGUUGCGGAGAUCGCAAAACCUCGCCUUUACUCGAAUCUCCACGAAGAAGACUCCAUUGCUAACACCCAUUUCCAGAUUCGCACACGGCAAUGCUUCACCCAGAAGCCUCAGGCUCUUCUCCACGAGCCCUACGGACGAGAUCCCAAUCUCGUCAUCCGCAGAGCUUACCCACGAAGAAUCCAAUGCUCCCGGUUUAGGGUUUACCGAAAGUGGCGAUUUUGAUGUGAAUGGUGAAGAUGGAGAGUCUCACAUUUCUCCAAUCGAAGCUUCUGGAGACGGGUCCGUUGUAGCUGAGGAGGUGAGCCAAUUCGACGAGGAAAAGUUCGAAUCUUUGCUGUCUUUGUUACGAGGCGAUGAGGAAGCUUUGGAGUUUGGUCUGAAGGCGUUAGAUCUCGAUUUGAACUCAGAUCUUGUGGGGAGAGUGUUUGAAUCUCCAGGAAUUAAAGGUAAGAACUUGAUUAGGUUCUUGAAAUGGGCAACUAAGAAAGAAGACAUCACUGUCACCACAUCGCUUUUAGAGUCUCUCCUUGUAGUAAUCUCUGGUGAUAGACGUAGGUUGGAUGCUUAUGCUCUGUGGGAUUUGGUUAAAGAGAUUAGUGAGAGUGAGAGUAGCCUUGUUUUGAAUCUUGCGAUAAUGAAUGAUCUGAUAGCUUUGUUUGGGAAGCUUGGCAAGUCCAAAGCUGCUUUCGAUGUGUUUAGUAAAACCGAGGAGCUUGGCUUUACUUUGAAUGCCAAGACUUAUUAUGUAACACUGGAGGCGCUUUGUAAGCGGUCGUUUAUGGAAUGGGCGUGCGUUGUGUGCGAGAAGAUGCUCAAGAGCGGUGUGUUACCAGAGGGAGACCAGAUUGGUAACAUCAUUACUUUGUUUUGUAAGGAAGGGAAGGCUGAGGAGGCUUAUUCUGUUUACGAACUGGCUAAGACGAAAGAGAAGUUGCCUCCUUCUAGAUCUGUUGCUACUCUGAUAAGUGCGCUGAGCAAGAAUGAUGGGACUGUUGGGUUUGCUCAGGAGUUGUUGAGUGAUUUAUCUGGAGAUGCUAGGCGACAGGGGAUCAAACCGUUUUCUGAUGUGAUCCAGAGUUUAUGCAGGAUGAAGAAUGUUAAAGACGCUAAAGGUUUGGUCCUGGAUAUGAUCUCUAAAGGACCUGCUCCUGGGAAUGCGGUUUUCAAUUUGAUUGUGCACGCUUGUUCGAGAAGUGGAGAUCUAGAUGAAGCCAAAGAGGUUUUGAAGUUGAUGGAGAGUAGAGGUUUGAAACCAGAUGUGUACACUUACACUGUCAUCAUCAGCGGGUAUGCUAAAGGAGGGAUGAUGAAUGACGCCCGAGAAAUUCUAGCGGAAGCGAAAAAGAAACAUAAGAAUCUUAGUCCUGUGAUGUAUCACUCACUCAUCAGAGGCUACUGCAAGAUUGAAGAGUAUGACGAAGCUCUUGAGCUUUUGAAUGAAAUGGAGAGUUUCGGUGUGAAGCCUAGUGCGGAUGAGUAUAGUAAGCUGAUUCAGUCGUUGUGCCUCAAAGCAUUGGAUUGGGAGAAAGCAGAGAUGCUGUUUGAGGAGAUGAAGCAGAAGGGGUUGCAUCUGAAUGCUAUUACUCAGGGGCUGAUAAGAGCAGUUAAAGAGAUGCAAUCUGAAGGCAAGGCAACCGAAGAUGCUAAUCUACUUGCUGCAGCAUAGAACUUGGAUUUUGAUAUUUUACAUUUGUUCUAUCAAUCUGGAAUAGCUUUUGAAGAUGUUUUCUCUUGGUUUGAAACUCCAGACAGUGCCUUGUUUGUUCUCCAAUAAGCUUUUAUGGUGUUCAAUCACAGUACUCAUCAUCAUCAAGCAAUGUUUUUCAUCAUAAUUAGUUAUAAAUUCGAUCUAGUCACUAUAUAAUCAAACAGUUUCAAAUUCAUAAACUUAUUAAUGAUUCAAUGCUAAUUCAUAACAAAAACAAAUCAUGAUAGAUACAUAGUACAGUUUUUUUAUAAAAGAAAUAAAAAUUUAGGAGAUUCUGAUGACCACUUUGUUCUUCUUGCCUGAAGAGAGAACAAGACCUUUCCCUUCAACUCUCUUAUUCUCAUCAUCAACUCUCUUAUUCUCAUAUAAACCCCACCUUGCUUCAACGUUCUCCUUGCUGCAGAUUUGCUCUCAAACAGCCCCGCAGAAACCGAUACAUCCACAACAGAAACACCUGAGACUCUAUCAACAGGCAGUGAGCAAACGACAUUUUGAUAACGUGUUCAUGUUCUGAGAUAUAUAUAUCCAAAGAAAAGGAAAGUGCUAUACUAAUCAUGAAUUCAUCAAUUCUAAUCUCAAGCCUUAGAGCAGGAUUAUCUUGGGAAGGGAUUUUUAGUGGGGAUUUUAGGUGGGUGACCCCACAAAAAGGAAAAAUCGGUUAUAGGAAAACCAAAAUAAGGAUCGCUGUUCAGGGGGGUUUUUGAACUGUUUGCGGACCUCACUGACACGUGGC
This 14174-nucleotide long non-coding RNA is filed under the name Brassica napus (rape). RNAcentral's name for it is "long non-coding RNA (BNAP_LNC026305)". Lineage: Eukaryota; Viridiplantae; Streptophyta; Magnoliopsida; Brassicales; Brassicaceae. The record is from RNAcentral.